CUUCAAACAGCUGUUCCCUAUCCUGAGCACUACCUACAUGCAGGUGGAGCCUCUACCCUGUUCCACAAGGAACACUUCCUCUUCCUGUACAGCUAUUCAGAGCACACACUGGAUGCUGGAGCAUGUUACUUGCAUGCCUUGUUUGCAUCCCGCUCCUCAAGCCAGCAGCUGGCAUCUGAUGAGCUACCUGUGGCAGGAAGAAACAUGCUGCAAUAAUCAGAGGGCAAAUCUGGAGGACUACAGUUCACCCCUCAGGAGCAGAUGCCCACAUCCCUCACACAUUAACCAUAACACAGGACCUGUGCGUACAAAUGCUCUCAAACCAGUGCUGGCAAACUUCUUCCCUGGCUUUGGAAGCUCACUUCCCUGGAGAUCCUGGCACACUGUGGGCAAGCUGGAAGGAGCACCAAGAUAAUAUCCCCUCUCAGUAGUGCAAAGAAUGAAUGAGAUUUGGAGGAGAAGCCCAAGCUCCUCUCCUCAGCUGCCUCUCUGCCUAAAAACUGGCAGGGUGGAAUUGUCCUGCACAUGUUUCACACCUGAAAACCUGGUUACCAAGCAGCUCUGCUGCCCCAGUGUCACUAUACUCACUAUGUCACAGCACAGUGCCUAGCCCUUCUCCUUCUCUCUCCACUCCAGACCUCAUCAACAUCAGCCCAAGUAGCUGCAGUGCCACAGCAAGAAGCUCCUGGCUGAUGGACUCCUAUGUGAAAGGACCAGAGGUAGCUGAUGGACAGAAGGACCCUCCACCAGCUCUGCCACUGAGUGACUGUCAGAUGAUCCCUGUAACAGCAGUGACAAGAGGAGGCUCAGGAUGUGUCCCCCAGGUUCAGAACAAGGUGGCACUGAGGAUCACCACAUUGCGUUGCAGCAUUGCUCAAACGAGACUCUGGGCUGAGCAGAGCCACAGUGGAGGCACUGGGACACCUGAAUCACCCUUCCCUCAUUGUGAAAUGUCUGUGAUUUGCAUAACAGUAAACCAUUGCCCAACAGUCAUGUUUAGGUUGUUCAGAAUCAUCCUACACACAUGUACAUCAAACUCCCAUGUCAGGGUUGGUCACUGGAGAGCAGAAGACCACAGCCACCAGUGUGCAGGUCUCUCAUGGUUGGUCAAGGAACAUGAUGCUAUCUGUUAAUUCCUGCUCUAUCAGUCCUUGGAAUUACUCAUUUCAACAACUCUGUCUCUCUGAUUCAAUACCCAGGAUGUCCAAGCUGUCUGCCUGCAGAUACACGGCCAAUAAAGAUGUCAUUUAGUUCCUUGCCA
RNAcentral lists this long non-coding RNA (1261 nucleotides) under Phasianus colchicus (ring-necked pheasant). Its description in RNAcentral is "lncRNA (ENSPCLG00000009507.1)". Lineage: Eukaryota; Metazoa; Chordata; Aves; Galliformes; Phasianidae. The record is from RNAcentral.